UGGGGAAUUUUGCACAAUGGGGGAAACCCUGAUGCAGCGACGCCGCGUGAUUUAGAAGGCCUUCGGGUUGUAAAAAUCUUUUCUAUGGGAAGAAAAUGACAGUACCAUAGGAAUAAGGACCGGCUAAUUACGUGCCAGCAGCCGCGGUAAUACGUAAGGUCCGAGCGUUGUCCGGAAUCAUUGGGCGUAAAGGGUACGUAGGCGGGUAAGCAAGUUAGAAGUGAAAUCCUGUAGCUCAACUACAGUAAGCUUUUAAAACUGCUCAUCUUGAGAUAUUGAAGGGAAAGUGGAAUUCCUAGUGUAGCGGUGAAAUGCGCAGAUAUUAGGAGGAAUACCGGUGGCGAAGGCGACUUUCUGGCCAUAAUCUGACGCUGAGGUACGAAAGCGUGGGUAGCAAACAGG
This 402-nucleotide ribosomal RNA is filed under the name Bacteroidota bacterium. RNAcentral describes it as "Bacteroidetes bacterium partial 16S ribosomal RNA". It matches the Rfam family "Bacterial small subunit ribosomal RNA", at positions 355 to 776 of the family's 1533-position model. The record is from RNAcentral. Lineage: Bacteria; Pseudomonadati; Bacteroidota.